Molecule: ribosomal RNA, 119 nt
Filed under: Cavia aperea (Brazilian guinea pig)
Lineage: Eukaryota; Metazoa; Chordata; Mammalia; Rodentia; Caviidae
Source: RNAcentral
GUCUACAGCUAUACCAUCCUGAACGCACCCAGUCUCGUCUGAUCUUGGAAGCUAAGCAGGGUCGGGCCUGGUUAGUACUUAGAUGGGAGACCACCUGGGAAUACCAGGUGCUGUAGGCU